This 783-nucleotide ribosomal RNA is filed under the name Proasellus sp. n. Cantarana. RNAcentral's name for it is "partial 28S ribosomal RNA". It matches the Rfam family "Eukaryotic large subunit ribosomal RNA", at positions 369 to 938 of the family's 3401-position model. Lineage: Eukaryota; Metazoa; Arthropoda; Malacostraca; Isopoda; Asellidae. The record is from RNAcentral.
AAGUACUUUGAAGAAAGAGUUCAAGAGAACGUGAAACUACCACGAGAUUAAAGCGGAUGUACAUACGUAGCCGAUAAGGGGGCCUCAUCUCCUCGAGCCUCCAGCGGUCGUCGCGUUCGGACCUUCGCUUUCCGUCCACACUUCGGUGGGGACAACCGGCGAUGGCCGUCGCGACGGCGGACUCGGAGGAUGGGGGGUGGACUUCCCUCCUUUGUAGGCAGUCGCGGCCGUUCGAGAGUCGUCUAAGACCCGGGAGUCGGGAACCGCCAUGCGAAUAACACUCGCGGGCGGGGACGCUCCCUCGAUUCUGGCGGACUCUAGGACGGUUGUUAAAAAUUGGCGACGUAGAAGAGUGCGAAUCUCUCGUCGUACGCGGCUGUGACGCGAUCGUUCAUCCGUCCCGUCUUGAAACACGGACCAAGGAGUCUAACAUGUGCGCGAGUCAACGGGUUGGCUAAACCCCAAGGCGCAACGAAAGUAAAAAAGGGAGUCCUCUCGUUAGGACUCUCGUUGGGUCGAUCCGUGAUCCUGCCAUUAGGACCGGCGCAGACCCGGGGCUCGCCGCUACCUCUUCGGGACUCUCGCGACUACGGCAGCAGUUGUAGUAGCAGUAGUAGUCUCGAGGCGGGCGGCGGGCACCUAGAGCGUACAUGCUAGUACCCGAAAGAUGGUGAUCUAUGCUUGGCCAGGAUGAAGCCAGAGGAAACUCUGGUGGAGGUCCGUAGCGAUUCUGACGUGCAAAUCGAUCGUCAGAGCUGGGUAUAGGGGCGAAAGACCAAUCGA